Vitis vinifera (wine grape) is the source of this 214-nucleotide non-coding RNA. Lineage: Eukaryota; Viridiplantae; Streptophyta; Magnoliopsida; Vitales; Vitaceae. The record is from RefSeq and is marked provisional.
GUUCAAAAGCUCUUGUUGAAUAACAAUGAUACACGAUGAAGCUUCGUUAUAAAAAAACUUUUAAAACCUGUUUGGAUUGACUUCUGAAAGGCUAAAAGCUCUUAUUAAGCUUAAAUAAGAGCUUUUGGCUUCUCAGAAGUCAAUCCAAACAAGGUCUUAAAAUUUUUUUAUAAUAAAGUUUGAAACGUUGUUAUUAUCAUCAACGCUUUUGUAC